RNAcentral lists this ribosomal RNA (465 nucleotides) under uncultured bacterium. Its description in RNAcentral is "partial 16S ribosomal RNA". It matches the Rfam family "Bacterial small subunit ribosomal RNA", at positions 28 to 507 of the family's 1533-position model. The record is from RNAcentral.
GACGAACGCUGGCGGCGUGCUUAACACAUGCAAGUUGAACGGAAAGGCCCUGCUUGCAGGGUACUCGAGUGGCGAACGGGUGAGUAACACGUGGGUGAUCUGCCCUGCACUUCGGGAUAAGCCUGGGAAACUGGGUCUAAUACCGGAUAGGAGCCAUUUUUAGUGUGAUGGUUGGAAAGUUUUUUCGGUGUAGGAUGAGCUCGCGGCCUAUCAGCUUGUUGGUGGGGUAAUGGCCUACCAAGGCGGCGACGGGUAGCCGGCCUGAGAGGGUGGACGGCCACAGUGGGACUGAGACACGGCCCAGACUCCGACGGGAGGCAGCAGUGGGGAAUAUUGCACAAUGGGCGCAAGCCUGAUGCAGCGACGCCGCGGGGGGGAGGACGGCCUUCGGGUUGUAAACUCCUUCCGCUAGGGACGAAGCUUUUUGUGACGGUACCUAGAUAAGAAGCACCGGCUAACUACGUG